Long non-coding RNA from Mastomys coucha (southern multimammate mouse), 266 nucleotides. RefSeq lists it as uncharacterized. The record is from RefSeq and is a predicted model, not a curated record. Lineage: Eukaryota; Metazoa; Chordata; Mammalia; Rodentia; Muridae. The transcript has 3 exons.
AUUUCUUCCAGGUUCAUCAAUAACAUCCUCCAGUUUCUUCCAUGCUGUCUCAAAUGAAAGAAUUAUCUUCUCACAAAAUGGUGAAGAGCAGAUUCUUUGUUCCCUCACUGAGUUGUGAGACUACCUUUGUUUCUAAAUCCACUGGCAAUCUCACAUAGCGUCCAGAGAGCACCUUAUGACAACGGGAUGUUAAAGGAGAUGAAACAACUGGAUUUUCUGAGCUUCUGCUUCCUGACCUGCUUGAGUUCCAGUCCUGACUUCCUCUG